This 429-nucleotide ribosomal RNA is filed under the name Pseudomonadota bacterium. Its description in RNAcentral is "Proteobacteria bacterium partial 16S ribosomal RNA". It matches the Rfam family "Bacterial small subunit ribosomal RNA", at positions 355 to 776 of the family's 1533-position model. Lineage: Bacteria; Pseudomonadati; Pseudomonadota. The record is from RNAcentral.
UGGGGAAUAUUGGACAAUGGGCGAAAGCCUGAUCCAGCCAUGCCGCGUGUGUGAAGAAGGUCUUCGGAUUGUAAAGCACUUUAAGUUGGGAGGAAGGGCAGUAAGCGAAUACCUUGCUGUUUUGACGUUACCGACAGAAUAAGCACCGGCUAACUCUGUGCCAGCAGCCGCGGUAAUACAGAGGGUGCAAGCGUUAAUCGGAAUUACUGGGCGUAAAGCGCGCGUAGGUGGUUCGUUAAGUUGAAUGUGAAAGCCCCGGGCUCAAACUGGGAACUGCAUCCAGAACUGGCAAGCUAGAGUAAGGCAGAGGGUGGUGGAAUUUCCUGUGUAGCGGGGAAAUGCGUAGAUAUAGGAAGGAACACCAGUGGCGAAGGCGACCACCUGGGCUCAAACUGACACUGAAGUGCGAAAGCGUGGGGAGCAAACAGG